RNAcentral lists this non-coding RNA (25 nucleotides) under Drosophila melanogaster (fruit fly). The record is from RNAcentral. Lineage: Eukaryota; Metazoa; Arthropoda; Insecta; Diptera; Drosophilidae.
AAAAUAUUACGUCAUCCCAGUACUC